RNAcentral lists this long non-coding RNA (1012 nucleotides) under Mytilus galloprovincialis (Mediterranean mussel). Lineage: Eukaryota; Metazoa; Mollusca; Bivalvia; Mytilida; Mytilidae. The record is from RNAcentral.
AAAAAUGCAUGUAUUUACACACAUUCGAGGCCGUACUGUAGCCUAUAAUUGAUCACAGUUACUUCACUUUGUUUUGGGAGUAGAGCUAUUUCGGUGACACCCAAUUGUACAACACUGCGGGGGUUUAUAAUGAUAAUGAAGUCCGUCUUUCCGUUCGUUCGUUGGACAGUUAUACUAUGUUUGGCCGGUUUUGUAAGUACAUCUCCUCAUUUACCACUUAAUAUACAAUGGGGUUUCCAGCCAUUUUUAAAUGGAGAGAGGGUCCAAUCCAGGAGAAAAGGGGAUUCCAAAUAUAUGUUCCCAUACAAAUGCAUUGAUAGUUAAAAAGGGUUUCAAUCCGCCGGAUCGCCUUUUUUUUAUCCGUCACUGAUAUGACUUAAUUAAUCUUUCCCGGAUUCCUUAUCAUAAAUUAUAAUGACUGUAUUGUGCACCGUCUAUUUCGAAUUAAAGUAAACAUCUUUUAUGGGGGUUCUUUGUAUAAGAUACGGACUAUGCAUUAUAUGGGGCACCUAUCAGGUUUUUCCAACACCACCUCCUAAACCAAUUAUAAAAGUUCUGAACUGAAUUGCUCCAUUUUUAAUCAAUUAAUGCAAAUAUGCACCUUCUAUUUCUAUUUUUUGGUGAAAAUAUUUUUCAUGUUUUUAUAUCUCAAAUAUACGGACUUUGCCAUAGUUUUAUAUUGGGCGUAUCUAUUUUAUAUCCACAAAUUCCUUCAGACACUUAACUUUGUGAAUCUUUUUUAGAUUCUUUAUCAUUUAAUUCAAUUGUGCACCUCUUAUUUUCAUUUUUUUUAGAAAACUCACUGUUUUCUCCUUCCGUGAUAAGGGCUUUUCCACUACCUUAUUGGGUGGUACCCAUUCACUAUACGCAACUUUCCUAAACUUACCGUAUAUUAAUAAAACUUUCUCAGAUUCUUUAUCAAAUGAUGCCACUCUGCACCUAUAUUUUAGUUGGGUUUUUUUUUUUUGGGGGGGGGGGUAUUUUUUCCAAAACAUGGACUUCAGAAGCGGCG